This is a long non-coding RNA of Fukomys damarensis (Damara mole-rat), 2017 nucleotides long. RefSeq lists it as uncharacterized. The transcript has 3 exons. Lineage: Eukaryota; Metazoa; Chordata; Mammalia; Rodentia; Bathyergidae. The record is from RefSeq and is a predicted model, not a curated record.
GGGUGUUUUUGGGGGGUACAGCCUAGCGGAGGGGGCGAGUCCAUGGGCAGGGCCUGCCGGGAAGGGGCGUGUCUGUGGGCAUGGCCAGGGAGGGGUCAUCUCCCUCCCCCAGCUCCUCCUUCGCAUUCAACUUCCUGCUCCGCAUGCUUCGAGGAGCUUUGCUCCGCCAGGCCCCUCUGCCACACCUUGGAGCAGCCAAUAAUGGGAUAAACCGCUCCUCCUCCAAGUUACGGGUGUCAGGUUUUUCCUCUCAGUGACAAGAAGAUGACAAAGAGAGAAGUGUCCCCUUUUCCAUGUUUGUUCAGUAAUUUAGGGUUGCAUUCUGGAAGUUCUUUUGGCUUCUGUUAUAUUCCACUGACCAAUCUUGUGAUGUUGUGAAGCAGGAAAUUAAGUUGCCUGGGCUGAGUCUUCAAACGGCCUCUCCUGGAAGUCAAGAGUUCCAGCUGCCAAUUCACCGAUUUGCCUGUGGUUUGAGGGCUUCUGGCCGCAUUCCCGCCCUGAUUAAGGAAGAAGCUGCUCUGCUCCAGCCCUUGGUGAGAUGGUAAAUCACCGAGGCCACAACCCAGGGCUGCCACCAUAGUGCACUGAUUUCCUGGGACAGACCCAGCACCCUUCGGCCCCAGCCACCUGAGAGCAGUGGCUGAAAAACCCGGCUCCUCUGGCUUUUAUAGACUUAAUGGCUGGGGUGGAGGAAGCAAGGGAAGCUGAGUUAUAUUUACUGAGAAUCUGCCCCAGCCUCCCUCUGAUGAAUGCCUUCCAGCUCGCUUUGAAAGGGCUCACGGUGAGCCGCUGGGUAAUGACACGACCCGCAGCAGGCCGGCCCUCAGGAACAGUGACUGAUGACCAGCCAGGCUGGGGAGGGCGAGGAGCAACGAGGGUGAUCACACCUCCACACGGGUGGAGGUUUGGGGGAUCCCGGGGGACGCAGACACCUGAGUGGAAGCACCCAGCUUCUCAGUCAUCUUAGCUCCAGCCAUGGCCCUCACCUUCACCUGGCUUUCUCAUGGCCAAAGAGCUUAAUAUUCAGGAAAGCCAUUUCGAGACUUGUGGAGAUCCUCCUGUCUCAGCCUCCUGAGGGCUGGGAUCACAGGUGCGCACCACCACACUGGGCGUUGCGUCUUUCUCUCCACACAGGGCGACACUGACACACAUUUGGUGAUAGCAUUUCAGGCUCAGACCCAAGCUCACCUUGGGGGUGAGAACUGAACUCCCCGGUCCACAGUACACCAGCAGCUCCACACCCUGCCUUGCACCCCUUCUGCCUUGAGAGCGGCCCAUGACACAGAGUGUGUCUCCGUCCCUCCCCUUAGCAGCCUGAGUUCCCCUCGCUCGCUCUCUCUCUGCACUGUUCCUGGAAAGAAGCCCGACUCCAAGAACCCAGGAGCCAGAGCCCCAGUGCACUGGAAAGCGAGCACCAAGUAGUCCCAGACUGGAUGUCCGUCCCUCCAGGGACUUCCACAGCGAGACCAUGAGCAGAUCAUCUGGGGCCGUGCUGAGGUGACACAUGUUCCACAUCCGCUCACUUUGCUGCCAAGUCAGCCUCACUUUCCUGGCCCGGGACCCUGCUGUCUCCCUAGAUCUGCGCAUUCACCCUGCAGACUUCUCUUCCCACCCUGCUUGGCUGCUGGACUCACAGGUCACGCAUGGCCUGCUCACUGCAGGAAAAAGAGAAGAGUGACCCAGGUGCUGUGACUUUCGGUGACAGCUGCCGUGUGACUCGGCGUUUCCGCCCUGCACGCCUCAGAAUCGGAAACAGGGGCGCAGACCUGCCGAGGCCCGCGUGCUCGUGGAGGGCUUCUCAGCCUGCUGGGAGGAGGUCACAGCACAGCCCCGCGUCAGGCCCAAUGUCACCGGGACCGAAGUCUCUGAGGGCCAAGUGGAGCUGCACGCAGAGAGUUGGAGGCUUGGGGACAGAAACGCUCCAGACCAGAGAGCUGGCGUCUGCCCAGCAUUGUAAACAGACUUUUCACCCUAACACGUUAAUUUCAUUCUAUGUGAAUCUCACCUCAAUUUUUUU